This 64-nucleotide transfer RNA is filed under the name Diopatra cuprea. RNAcentral describes it as "tRNA-Met". Lineage: Eukaryota; Metazoa; Annelida; Polychaeta; Eunicida; Onuphidae. The record is from RNAcentral.
AGUAAGAUAAGCUAAUUAAAGCUAUUGGGCUCAUACCCCAAACAUGAACAUAAUUCUCUUACUA